Drosophila pseudoobscura is the source of this 1671-nucleotide long non-coding RNA. RefSeq lists it as uncharacterized. The record is from RefSeq and is a predicted model, not a curated record. The transcript is spliced from 2 exons. Lineage: Eukaryota; Metazoa; Arthropoda; Insecta; Diptera; Drosophilidae.
UGUGUUGCUUUUGCUCGCGCCGUUGAGCUCGAGCAGCAGCUCGCCCUUUGCCGUCCUCCGGAUUCUAUUAACAUUAUCCCCUACCUCCUGCAGCUUGCCAUCCUGGCGCCUGGUGACCAUACGGAGGAUGUCGCUAUAGCUAAGCUCGCCCUGGGGUUGGAUGAUUAUUGCGUCUGGCCUUGGUUCACGCUCACGGGGCUCCCUUUUUUUUCUUACCCUAGGGCCCACCUGCUGCCACUUGAGCUGUUUCUUAGCGGCUGGGGUGGCACCAUGGUCCACUGUACCCGAGGGGGUUAGUUCAUCCUGGGACUGCUCCGGCGGUUUGAGCUGGGUCGACGCUUGUUGGGGUUAGGGGUUCAGCCUGCCUACUCAGGUCAUAGAAUGCCGACGCCGUCAGCCCACAGUCUAAUGUACGUAAGGGGGUUCCAGUGGGUCGUACGUAACACCUUACUGGUCUCGGUGUUACGGGCGGUAUAGUACCUACCAAGGCGCCUAUGGCGCCGAUGGGUCCACUCUUGUGUACCCGAUGGCCUUAGAAAGCGCCGAUGUGCAGUGUGAGCCUCUACAAUAUCCCCAUCAGUUCCACUUUGCCACAUCCUAUAGACCCGCGGUGGGGGGGCCGAAAAGUCGUGGUAUACUUCUAGGAUGUAUGAUGCAGCGCCAUCUGCCGGUGCUCGUCUUCCUCUACGUGCUACGUAGCAGCGCCCUCUGACGGUGGGACACGCCUGCGAUGAGUAGGCUAUCGCCUUCUUGUAGCCCUAGUCAGCAGCUGUUGCUCUGAUCAGGAAAAUAGACAUACGGAAAAACGUGGAGCUCAUCCUAAAGAAGCUGAGGCAACUGGUGCAUUAUGUCGGGCCUUAGAACGGCCAACCUACGCAUGCUCGUGCGGUGCAGGCAACUCCGUUGUCUGGCAUGGUAACUCCGUCGCCAUCCAUCUUGAGCCGGUGAGAGGAGGAGAGAAACUCACCCCGGGAGCUUCGUGUGUGUUGUGAGUGAGUUGGAGUUUGAGUGACAAACCCCAAAUUGGUUUAGCCAUGGCAGAUUGCUUUAAAAUCCUGAUUGUCGACCUUCUUGGGUUUGGACACGGUCUGCUCGGGCCAGGAGUCCAGAGUUAAGCUCAGUAAGCAUCGCGCCCAUAGGCCAGUCACUUCACUCAAUGGCUGCUACCGCCGACGCGGGAGAAAAGAAGAACAGAACCGCCAGCCUGGAUCGGAGGCGGGCACAACGAGGAGGGGCUCGACCUGCCCUGGUAGCCAGAACGGUACCUCGUCAGCCCAGGUCCUAUUCCACCCUCGGCGGCUCCGCAGACACACGGAGCGCGGCGCAAACACAGGAGCAACGGAGGCGCGCGACCGACCCGGGUUUUUUCACCACUGUUUUUUCCGUUCCAAAGGUGACAGUAUUUAAACGAAACGAGGGGGAACGUUGUGAGUUGCUGCGGACACCGCAACUCUACAGUUAUACCUGUUGCGUGACCUUCCAUCGAUGGCCACAAUUAUUAGUUAUUGAUCUGAGUUAUGAAGUCUAGUGUAAGUUAGGCUAGGGCAAAGCGGGAGCGCAAUAAAAGCUCUCGCUCUUGGUGAAUUAGUACCGCUUUGCCACCGUAGGUUAGCUAGAGUAAGAGAUUUGAAUUGUGAAGAAAAUAUAGUUGUUUGCCAACCUUGAAUUAGA